Long non-coding RNA from Gossypium arboreum, 144 nucleotides. RefSeq lists it as uncharacterized. The transcript has 3 exons. The record is from RefSeq and is a predicted model, not a curated record. Lineage: Eukaryota; Viridiplantae; Streptophyta; Magnoliopsida; Malvales; Malvaceae.
GUUUGGUUGCCUUGAUUUUUGGCUUAGAAGAUAGCUAGAAUGAGCUCAAGAGCCUAGAGGAUCAAAGUUGGAUAAGGGAAAGAAAGAGGUGAUCGAAUAGCCAUCGUAAUCGUUCGGCAACUUCCGAGAUCUCAUUUGGAAGCU